Molecule: long non-coding RNA, 364 nt
Filed under: Bos taurus (domestic cattle)
Lineage: Eukaryota; Metazoa; Chordata; Mammalia; Artiodactyla; Bovidae
Description: long non-coding RNA NONBTAT026561
Source: RNAcentral
GCUAACUUUAUUAUCAGUGAAAAGAUAGGCACAAAGUGGAUUCAAACCUGCUUAACUUUAUUGGAACUAGCUCAGUUGAUUACAGAACAGGGUCUCCAUCAUUAUGGGGCCACAUACAUUUUAAAUCAAAGGUGAUUUCUGUCCAGCCAUAAGAGAAUAUCAUUUAUAAAAGUUAGUGCAUAUGUAUACACUUGAAGCUGCCGGAUUAUGAGUGGUUAGGCUCUUGAUAAAAAAGUAGUCUGCACAAUCAGUUUGUUCAUUUCUCAACUGGUGUCCCCACCCACUCUGUAACAAGAAAAAGAAUGCACGACUGGGCUCUUGGUGUGUUUCCCAUGGCAGAUGACAUCAGAUAUUUUAGGUUCCC